UACGUAGGGUGCAAGCGUUGUCCGGAAUUAUUGGGCGUAAAGAGCUCGUAGGCGGUCUGUCACGUCGGAUGUGAAAAUCCAGGGCUUAACCCUGGACCUGCAUUCGAUACGGGCAGACUAGAGUUCGGUAGGGGAGACUGGAAUUCCUGGUGUAGCGGUGAAAUGCGCAGAUAUCAGGAGGAACACCGGUGGCGAAGGCGGGUCUCUGGGCCGAAAUUGACGCUGAGGAGCGAAAGCGUGGGGAGCAAACAGG
Molecule: ribosomal RNA, 253 nt
Filed under: uncultured bacterium
Lineage: Bacteria
Description: partial 16S ribosomal RNA
Rfam family: Bacterial small subunit ribosomal RNA
Source: RNAcentral